Molecule: non-coding RNA, 526 nt
Organism: Pelobates cultripes (western spadefoot toad)
Lineage: Eukaryota; Metazoa; Chordata; Amphibia; Anura; Pelobatidae
Source: the annotation of a GenBank genome assembly
AAACAAGAGUUUACUCUGCAAUACCAGCACUGGCCAGUAGGGGUCGUUGUGUGUGGAGACAGGCAGGGAUAGGAAGUUCCAGCAUAUCCCUGCCUAUCUAUACUCACUGAUCUGCAGGGGUGCAGCUACAGAGAGUCCAGACAGCAACUCCCACCCUGCAGAGACAGCCUACAGCUCAGGGAAGCAAGGGAUGGGGGGGAAAGGCUGCAAGGAGAGAUACACUGGGACACUAAGGGACAUUGGGAGACAUUAUGGCAGACACUGAGACACUAAGGGACACUGGGAGACAUUAUGACAGACACAUGGGGACACAGUGUCCCCAUGUCUCCCAGCCAGUGCCCCUAGUCUCCCAAUGACCCCUAGUCUCCCAGUGCCCCCAGUCUGCCAGUGUCUCACUGUCCCCAUGUCUCCUAGUGCCUCCAUGUCUCUCAGUGCCUCAAGUGUCACAGUGUCCCCAUGUCUCCAAGCUAGUGUCCCUAGUGUCUGUGGCCCUGAUGUCUCAGUGUCCCCAUGUCUCCCAGUCCCC